CAGCAAACACCUGACCCAGUGGGGAAGCUGUGCCUUCCAUCUUGGAGGGAACAUGAUGCCUCAGGAAUGUGAUGGGUGCACCCCAGGGUAGCAGUGAGCUCCUGAGGUGCUUUGGGAUGACACCAGUGGGAAAUAUUUUCCAAAGUGCGUCCUCUUGGUUGCUUUCAGGUGACUUCCAGCACUGACACCUGCCUCGUAGCAGCAGCCCAUAAGUGCGGUGUUUGAGAUGGGAACCAUUACGCCAGCACUUUUGCUUUCUGCAGUAAUUCACCAUUGACUUUUGUUUUGUAACUUCAGCUUUUAAUAUCUAUUGACCUGGUUCUACAUGAAUAAUUUAGUGUUUAUGAACAAUUGUAGUAACUGAACCCACGCCAUUAACUAAACCAUGAGCUCAGGGAAGUAGGAUAAAAGUUCAUAAAACGUAAAAUGAACGCUAAGGGGUCCACCAUAGACCUGAGCAGAAUUUUUAUUUUACCUGCAAUCCCAAAGAGCAUUUAGCUGCUCGGUGUUUAAGUGACAGAAUCAUGCUGGCACAUCUAGGUCUCUGGAUCCAUGCAGUUAUCUGGCGUUGGUGCAAUAAGAUUCCCAGUUACAGCACUGGGAUUAUUGGGCUGUAAGCCUGAGGUAUGCGAAUUUUCUGCAGGAUCAGGUAGUUUAGUUCUUUAUUUUUUGCAAUUACAUCUGACUUGCCUGGCAGCUUUAAUUCCAGCUGAGCACACUGUCUUUUGCACUUGCUUUUCAGAAUGUUGCCAGUUUGAAGGUGUUUGCUGAUUCGUUUCCUUCCUUUAGAGGAUACCGGGCUGGUUAAUGUUUGCCAUGUGCGGGCUGUCUCCUAGUAUCAAAAUCUGACCUCAGUAUAUCAGCAAUUUGCAAUUCACCAAGAUGAAAAGAUCCACUAAGGUAAGUGCAAACUCUGAAGUUGGUACCUCACCAGAAUAAAGGUUUUAGAUUCACAGCUCCACAUAACUGUAGUUUGCACAGCUAGGAGUCCUUGGGGUAGAGAGCAGAUACGAGCUGGCUGUAACGAAUAAACAGGAUUCUCUGCUGAGGCUGCUGUGAUCUUUCCUGCUGUCCAACUGGCAGAAUAACAAAACGUGUUAUCAGACAGAGACUCUGUAAAUCUUAGAUAUGGAUUUUCCCAUCAUAGGCUCCAGACCUGAAACUGGAUCCACUCAGCACCGGCGGAAGGGACUGGGGGUUAUUUAACAACCUGCAGGACUCAGCCACUUGAGAGUGGAUUGAACAUCUCUGAUGUUGUAUAUCACAAUGUUAUGACAGCUCUGCUGGGCCACAGCCAGCUGUCCGUGCUGCCAAAAUGCCCAUCGGUUCCAGUCGUUUCGCACAGUGAAUGGCACGGUAAUGUGGAAACUUCAAACAGCAACAGGAAGAAAAGUUUUCUGUCCAGCUGAACUCAGCAGGGAACCUGCCUGAUGCCGCAGCAGGCACUUGUCCGGAAGCUCGGUGCUCGCCCCCUGGAAGGCACGGCGGUGGGCUCGCUAGCCGAGGGGCUGCUGCCAUAUUAUACAGGCUUUCCUGACACAAAUCUCUCUGGACCAGUUGACCCAAGCACUGUCAGCCGAGGAGCUGCAGCCAUGCACCCCACCCGGGGGUCCUGGGGGCAGUGGGGGCCUUCAGGCUGCUGCUGGGGGGGUCUGCGGGCUGCUGCCAGCCCAGCCCAGGACCUGCCCAGGAGGCUGCCACCACCACACACGUGCCUGAGGAGAGUGUGAACCCAACUAUUUGAGCUGUGCCAAUGUGCCCAGAGGUGCUCGCAAGGCUGCGGUAAGGUGCCCGUCAUUUACUGGGAGGCGAGCGCAUCCAGUCCAGCGUGCUCGCUGGCUCCAAAGUUAAACCCUGCUAUUUGGAUCAACUUCAGCUUUUCGCCUCACUCUAAACCCUCUCUCCUGCACUGUUCACCUUACAUCCCUCCACACGGCCCCACUGUCCCGUCCUGGUGGCAGUGGGAGCUGGGGGUUGCUGCCCACGGCCGGGCCAGCGAUGCCGAGCGGUGCGGGUUAGCGAGCAUCCGAGGCUGAGGGCUUGUCCCUGAAUGCACAUUGUUCUCGAAGCUCCCAAGGCCAGAGGGGAGAAUAGUUGAACUGUUUACAAUAUUGUUUCAUAGGCUGCUAAAAAGCAGCCAUCUGUUUUUCAGAAGCGCAGCAAAACGUUUAUGAGCGUGGGACCUGCUCCAGCUCUCUGCCGCGGAGCUCUCGCGGCGGGGCCGUGGCCACCCUGCACCACGCGCCAGCCGGUGCGCGCUGCUGACAAAGGGGUUGCAGGACACACGCACCUCAGCCUUUCCUCCCUUUCCCCAGACAAAGAUCUUCCAGGUACCCUGAUUUAC
Long non-coding RNA from Oxyura jamaicensis (ruddy duck), 2344 nucleotides. RefSeq lists it as uncharacterized. NCBI's taxonomy places the organism in Eukaryota, Metazoa, Chordata, Aves, Anseriformes, Anatidae. The transcript has 5 exons. The record is from RefSeq and is a predicted model, not a curated record.